RNAcentral lists this long non-coding RNA (387 nucleotides) under Vitis vinifera (wine grape). RNAcentral's name for it is "long non-coding RNA (VVIN_LNC005612)". The record is from RNAcentral. Lineage: Eukaryota; Viridiplantae; Streptophyta; Magnoliopsida; Vitales; Vitaceae.
GAGUCUCUAUUGCAAGAAAUUGUUCUUGAGCUAUGACUUAAAAUUCCAAAUCAACAUGCCAUAAUUCUACUAUAACAGCAAUGCCUUUCUCUUGUCCUUUGAUAAAUUGGUUAUCUCAUUCUUAAUUCCAUUUUUUGAUUUUGUCCAUAUUUCUUGAGUAAUUCUUUGAAUCAAAUUAUCCGAUGCUAAAAAGUAGAGGUUCUCAAAAUAGUUUCCAUGCUUUGAAUUCAGCCAUGGUCUGGCCUGACUUAGACCAGCCUGUGCUAUGUAUCACCACAUGCAAAAAAUUUACUCAUGUUAUUUAUUAUGCAGAACUUAGCUUAUUAAUGCCCAAUGCUGGACAUUUGUGGUUAACCUAUGUACUGAUAGAAUUAAUUUGAUUUGUAG